GCCGGAAUAGCUCAGUUGGGAGAGCGUCAGACUGAAGAUCUGAAGGUCCCUGGUUCAAUCCUGGGUUCCGGCA
RNAcentral lists this transfer RNA (73 nucleotides) under Patiria miniata (bat star). Its description in RNAcentral is "tRNA-Phe". It matches the Rfam family "tRNA". Rfam says of the family: Transfer RNA (tRNA) molecules are approximately 80 nucleotides in length. Their secondary structure includes four short double-helical elements and three loops (D, anti-codon, and T loops). Further hydrogen bonds mediate the characteristic L-shaped molecular structure. tRNAs have two regions of fundamental functional importance: the anti-codon, which is responsible for specific mRNA codon recognition, and the 3' end, to which the tRNAs corresponding amino acid is attached (by aminoacyl-tRNA synthetases). tRNAs cope with the degeneracy of the genetic code in two manners: having more than one tRNA (with a specific anti-codon) for a particular amino acid; and 'wobble' base-pairing, i.e. permitting non-standard base-pairing at the 3rd anti-codon position. The record is from Rfam by way of RNAcentral. Lineage: Eukaryota; Metazoa; Echinodermata; Asteroidea; Valvatida; Asterinidae.